This 290-nucleotide ribosomal RNA is filed under the name Helix lucorum. Its description in RNAcentral is "partial large subunit ribosomal RNA". Lineage: Eukaryota; Metazoa; Mollusca; Gastropoda; Stylommatophora; Helicidae. The record is from RNAcentral.
ACACAUGGGUGGCGACUGUCUAAAUAUAUUUUUCCUAACUUUUUAAUCAAGUGAAAAUACUUGUGCUAAUAAAAAAGACGAGAAGACCCUAGAAACUUGAAAAGUUUUUUGUUGGGGCGACAGAGUUACAUGUAACUAAUUUUAUUAAACAUGACAUUAAUUAGAAAGGAUAAGUUACUCUAGGGAUAACAGCAUAAUUUUAAUAGUUUGUGACCUCGAUGUUGGAUUAGGUACUAUACCCUUUAGGCAAGGGUAUAAGAUGCUCUGUUCGAGCAAAUACACCUACGUGA